Molecule: ribosomal RNA, 497 nt
Filed under: uncultured bacterium
Lineage: Bacteria
Description: partial 16S ribosomal RNA
Rfam family: Bacterial small subunit ribosomal RNA
Source: RNAcentral
AUUGAACGCUGGCGGCAUGCCUUACACAUGCAAGUCGAACGGUAACAGGUCUUCGGAUGCUGACGAGUGGCGAACGGGUGAGUAAUACAUCGGAACGUGCCUAGUAGUGGGGGAUAACUACUCGAAAGAGUGGCUAAUACCGCAGAGAUCUACGGAUGAAAGCAGGGGAUCGCAAGACCUUGUGCUAAUAGAGCGGCCGAUGGCAGAUUAGGUAGUUGGUGGGAUAAAAGCUUACCAAGCCGACGAUCUGUAGCUGGUCUGAGAGGACGAUCAGCCACACUGGGACUGAGACACGGCCCAGACUCCUACGGGAGGCAGCAGUGGGGAAUUUUGGACAAUGGGCGAAAGCCUGAUCCAGCAAUGCCGCGUGCAGGAUGAAGGCCUUCGGGUUGUAAACUGCUUUUGUACGGAACGAAAAGCCCCGGGUUAAUACCCUGGGGUCAUGACGGUACCGUAAGAAUAAGCACCGGCUAACUACGUGCCAGCAGCCGCAGUAA